RNAcentral lists this long non-coding RNA (7006 nucleotides) under Capsicum annuum. RNAcentral describes it as "long non-coding RNA (CANN_LNC001256)". The record is from RNAcentral. Lineage: Eukaryota; Viridiplantae; Streptophyta; Magnoliopsida; Solanales; Solanaceae.
AGAUACUUUUCUCACUCUACAAACAAAAAUUUUCUCUCUUUCUUACUUUACUCUCUCGAACCUUCUAGGGUUCUUUGGUAUUCAUCAAUGGAUUUAUUCACUAUUUUACAUAACAUGGUAUCAGAGCAAACGUAGUUCGAUCCUCUCCUCUCCUCAGUCCUUUGGAUCUUACCCGUUAAUGGCGUAACUCGAUUGUGUGCAUCCAUCAUUCAAUGUUGCGGUCAAAUACUCGGGUUUGUUGUACAAGACCUUGUCUCUUUCAGGUGUACGAAAGAGAACGGUAAACAGUAGUCGUAACUCUAUCUCUCUCGACAGUUAGUGAUAGCUCCAGAUUUGAACUGAAAAUGGGGAAAUUUCUUGCUCAUAACCUUAGUUGAUAUCGAUUUACUGGUUUUGUGUACAUUUUUUAGUUCUGACUCGGAUUUGCGAUCAUUGAAAGCGUAGAUUUGUACUUGUUUGUAACUGAAGCUGUUGCUCUAUAUCACUUGUGUAGAUAGUAUCUGAUUUUUGUUCUAGGGACUAUGUUAUAGUGGUCUAUCUGAUUUUUGAGCUGUAGGGAUAUGUAACUGUGACUGUUGAUUGUGAGUCCUUGUCUGCUGGAAAUAUCUGUUUUAUAGUAUCUUUCCACAUCAUUAGGAUGAUGAUUCCUCCGAGUACGAGUACUACUAGUAAUUCAACCGAUACUACUGGUUUUGAAGAAUUGACCUUGGACCCUUCUCAUCCUUAUUACAUUCAUUCUUCCAAAAGUUCUAGUCACCAGUUAGUAUCAAUUCCCUUUAAUGGUUCUGGCUUUGCUAUUUGGAGGAAUAACAUGGUCACUUCUUUAUCAGCCAAAAAUAAAUUAGGGAUGGUCAAUGAAAAAUUCCCUCGACUUGAUUCACAUAAUCCUUAUUUCCAAUUAUGGGAAAAGUGUGAUCAUAUAGUUAAGGUCUGGAUCACCAAUUCUCUUUUUAGAGAUAUUGCAGUUAGUGUGAUAUGUCUUUCCACUAUAGGGAUGUCUGGAAAGACAUCAACGAUAGAUUUGGUCAGUCAAAUAUUUCUAGAUACACACAUAUCCAAAAGAAAAUUAAUUCCAUUGUUCAAGGGUCUUGCAAUAUAGCCACAUACUUCACUAAGAUGACGUCACUCUGGGAUGAACUGAAUGCUUCUUACAUUGGUCCUGAAUACAUAUGUGGUGCAUUGCCUAAAUUCAUCCAUAACAAAUAAUUAUUUCAGUUCCUCAAUGGCUUAAAUGAGGGAUAUUCCAUUAUAAAAAGCAACACACUGAUGAUGACACCCUUGCCAUCCAUCAGUAAGGUGUAUGCUCUCCUCCAAUAAUAUGAAAGCCAAAAGGAGUCCUAGUCUGGUCCCCCUUAUUUUUCCCGUGAAUCAGCUUCAUUCAAUGCAUCUGCUUUUAUCCCUAAUCCUGGUAAUAGACCUUUUCAUCAAAAGGUCAAUUUCAACAACAAUAAACAUAAUGCAUAACUCAUGGGUCACUGAUUUGAAAGUACUGCAAGAAGCCCGGUCACAAUAUUGACACCUGUUAUAGGCUUGAUGGAUUUCCACAUGAUUUUAAGUUCACCAAGAACAAGAAAUCUUCUGCUGCUUGUGUUCAGCUGUUGGACUCUGAUAUGCAGUCUUAUCAUUCUGGUUCACAUUCUAGACCCCACAAAUUGGAUUUUGGACAUGGUUUUAGCAAGGAACAAUACCAACACCUCAUGAGUCUGUUCCAGCAAACUCAAAUCUCUCCUAUGAAUCACUCUCAACUUGACCAUGCAGAAAGUUCUGGUUUUUCUCAUUUUGCAGGUUUGUUAAACAGUUCAGUUCUUACUUUUGCUUGUUACAAUAUAUGUGCUUCAACCCAGUUACUUUCAACCUCCUGGGUACUAGACUCAGGAGCCUCUAAUCAGAUGACCCCGCAUAAACAGCUUCUUCACAACCUACAAACCCUAGGUUAUCCCUUUCUGAUUACCCUACCUAAUGGUUACAAAGUCAAGGUAGUGUCUACUGGAUCAAUAUUACUAAGGGAAGACAUUACCUUAGACAAUGUACUAUUAGUUCCCUCUUUUCAGUUCAACUUACUUUCUAUAUAUCAACUACUCAACCAACUCUCAUGCUUGGCUGUCUUUUCUAUUUCUUCUUGUAAUUUACAGGGCCCUUCUCUGAAGAAGCCACCGAAAAUUGGCAAGGCUGAAAAUGGAUUGUAUUACUACCGUGCUGAUUCUUCUGCCACUUCACAACCUGAGCAUCAGUCAAUAAAUUUUCCACCUUCUGAUUCUAAAUAUACACAUAUUUCUAAUUCUGUCAAUGUUAUUCAUGAGUCUCUAUCCGUAACUCGCUCUUCUUGUAAUUCAUCUACUGUUUCUAAUAAAAUAGGCAUAUUUUGACACCAAAGACUUGGUCACAUGCCAUAUCACAAAAUGAAAAAUAUUUCUUUUCUUCACUCUCAACUUCCUUAAACUCAAACUUUUACCUGUGAUGUAUGUCCAUUAGCUAGAAAACACAGACUCCCUUUCCCACAUAGCAGUAUCCAUUCCACUCUCCCCUUCCAACUAGUCCAUAUUGAUAUCUGGGGUCCAUACCAUACCAAAACAUACAAUGGCUUCAAAUACUUUCUUACUCUUGUAGAUGAUUUUACCAGAGUUACAUGAACCUAUAUCCUUACUUGCAAAAGUAAUGCUCUCUCAAUUCUUAAAGCUUUUGUAUCUAUGGUUAAAGUGAAUUUCAAAACUUCUGCCAAACUUUCAGAUCUGACAAUGCAUGUGAACUAGGUAGCAGUUUUGAAGAAUCAUCCUUUUUUGCUGAAAAUGGCAUCCUUCACCAAAUAACUAUUUCACACAUACCACAAUAAAGUGGUGUUGUGGAAAGAAAAUGUAAACAUCUUUUGGAAACAUCUAGAGCACUACUUUUCCAAUCCAAACUUCCUACUAUGUGUUGGGGUGACUAUGUUCUCACUGCUACUUACCUGAUCAAUAGACUCCCUUCCAAUGUCUUACACAAUCUAUCCCCUUAUGAAAAAUUUCAUGGUUCCCCUCCAUCAUAUGACUACCUAAGGUCUUUUGGCUGCUUUUGUUAUGCCACUACUCCUCUAUUUGGGAGAGAUAAGUUCUAUACCAGGGUUAUUCCUUGUAUUUUUAUUGGCUACCCAUGUGGUAAAAAGGAUUACAAGUUACUACAACUGUCUAACAAAUCCAUUUUCUUUUCUAGAGAUGUGUAUUUUCAUGAACACAUCUUCCCCUAUCCUUCUUCUUCCUCCUAUCUCUCUUCCUCCCCUUCCCCAUCAUAUUUUGAUUUCCCUCCUCCUUCUUUUACCACUCUAUUCCCUUUAUCUUAUUCAGUUCUAGAUGCUAUCUCACCUUUUUCUACCCCUCCAGUCAUACCUUUUUCUUCUGUCCCUUUAAGAAGGUCAAUUAGGCCUACAACUAUUUCUCCUUACCUAUUUGACUAUGUCUACCACUCAGCCUCCCAAACUACCUCUUUUGAAGCUCCAUCUACUAAGCCACAAUCGUAUCACCAAGUUAUCUCAUCCUGCUUGGCAGGAUGCUAUGCUUAAGGAGUUUCAGGCUCUUGAAGCUAACAACACUUGGGAUCUUGUCCCUUUAAUUCCUCAUAAAAAUUCUAUUUCAUGUAAAUAGGUAUACAAAAUUAAGCAUAAAAUUGAUGGGUAUGUUAAAAGAUAUAAGGCUCGUUUGGUUAUUCAAGGGGAUACUUAGAAAGAAGGAAUUGAUUAUAAUGAAACAUUUUCCCCUAUUGUCAAGUUCACUACUAUCAAGGUUCUUAUUUCUAUAGCCAUUAAACAUCAUUAGACUGUUUACCAAUUGGAUGCCAAUAAUGCCUUCCUCCAUUGGAAUCUUUUUGAGGAAGUGUAUAUGAAACCCCCUCUUGGAUUAGAGGUAUCUUCCUCUAUUCCAUCUCCUUCUCCUUUAGUUUGCAUACUAAAGAAGUCACUUUAUGGUUUGAAACAAACUUCGAGUCAAUGGUUCUCUAAGCUUUCUGAGGCUCUAUCUCUCUGAGGUUAUUCAUCUAGUAAAAAUGACUGUUCUUUAUUCACCAAAUCUGUUGAUGGCUCUUAUAUUGUACUUGCUGUGUAUGUGGAUGACAUCUUGCUUGCUCGGGAUGACAUCCAUGAAUUGGAUGACCUCAAGCAAUUCUUAGACUCCCAUUUCAAGAUCAAGGACCUUGGGUCAGUACAUUACUUUUUAGUUUUGGAGAUCACUUCUCACUCACAAGGUCACCUCAUGACUCAAAAAAAGUUUACUUCUGAGAUUUUACCUGAGUUCCAUUGUGAUAAUUUCACAACUGUUAGUGCUCCUCUUGAUCAUUCUAUUAAACUUACGACUGAUAUGGGGGCUCUACCCACUGAUCCAUCCAUUUAACAUUGACUUAUUGGGAAACUGAAUUUACUUCAACAUACUCGACCGAAUAUCUCCUAUUCUGUUCAGCAUUUGAGCCAAUUCCUUCAGGCUCCCCAGGUGCCUCACUUUCUUACUGGCUUUCAUGUUUUACAAUACUUAUUAAAUGCACCUGAUCAGGGAUUGUUACUUUCUAAUUCAUCUGAUAUGACAUUACUGGCUUUCUCUGAUUCUAACUAGGCUGCUUGUGCUCACUCCCAUUGGUCCAUGACUGGUUAUUUUACCAUACUAAGUGGUUCUCCUAUCUCUUGGAAGAGUAAGAAAUAAUUUUAUAACCGAGUAAAAAGUUAUGGAAAUUUCAAGUUUCAUUUGUAAAACACCAUGAUUUGGUCCCGUAUCGCAUCGCGGAGACAUGUAAAAUCAUAAUUGUCAAAUUUCAGUGAGACUCCAUGAUUGUACCACAUCGUGGAGAGGUUUAAAUUAUCAUUUGUCCAUUUCCAGUAGCUUACCACGAUGGUGGCGCAUCGCGGUGAUGGUUCAAAUGACAAUUCAGUGGGGCAAUACGAUAUCUCCCCAUCACGGAGGUUCCCAAUUUCCCAGUCGUCAAUUUCCAGUGAGCCACCACGAUAGUGGCGUAUCACGGUGGCAUGUUAAAUUGGAAUUUUUUUCUUUUUCCUGUUUUGAUUAGAAAUUUGAAGGGGCUCUUUGGUCAAUUCCUAAGUCCCCAAUUCAUGAAUAACACCAAGAUUAAACCAAUUCUAAGCCUAUUAUGCUUAUUUCAUCUAUUCACUCUCAAAAGAAAAUCCUAAAACUCAAACUUUCUCUCCAAGAAAUCCAAUUUCUCCAUUAAUUCUCCAAAAUAUUUCAAGACCAAGGAUUCAUAGUUCAAGAUUUAGGAUUUCCAAUUCAAGAACUCCAAUAACUCAUCUUCAAAAGCAUAAUAGGAAUCCAAGAUUCAAGCUUUUCAUAGAAGAUCAUCAAUUAAGGUAUGUGGGGUUUUUCAACAAAGAUAAUCCUUUCAUUCUUGUACCCAAGACUUAUUUUAUUAUAAAUUUACUGAAUUUGUAUAUGAUUUCCCAUGAAAUUCAAGUUAGGGUUUUUACCCAUUAUUGAUAUUUACAAGCUUAUGAGAUUUCCAUUACUUUAGAAGUUGAAUUGCAUGAUUAUGUUCAUAUCUUCAUGCAUAUUGCAGAAAUUUCCAGAUUUGAAGUUGAAUUAUAAAUAUUUACAUUACUAAGCAUGAAUAUUAUGUUUUAACAUGAGUUUGAUGCAUGGGUCAUUAAGCCCUAAUUAAAGAUUGCUAUUUCAAGAUUGUUUAUGCUAUGAGCACCCUAUGAUAAGAUUAUUCUUAGAUUUUUGACAAAGAUUUGACCUUUUGGUCCUAAGCUAAGAUAAAGAAUCCACAUUGUUCAUAUGACUUGAGAUUUAAAGAAAAGAAAGAGCAUAAUUGGUUUUCUUGUAAAUCCUUGUGCUAAUUUUGAAGUGGAUUUCCUAAGAUCCUGAGCAUAGGAAUAGGAGUAGUAUUUAGCACCGAGAUGGGUAUGUUAUCAAAGUUUCAUGCUCUAGAACUACGUUCCCCUAUAGGAUUAAAAUUAUUCCCACUUCUACGUGGAUGCCUAAGAUUGUGAUCACUUAAGAUAAAAAGUUUUAUUCCGAUGGCAAGGAUAGAACAAAUCUCCCGAACGUGGGUAAGAUGUUGGACUCCAUGAAUGCUUACAUGGUUUAUGUCAGUUAGAAGAACCUCCCAAAAGAAGUUCCCUACUCUUAAAACAGUCUAUUAGUUUAAAGCCUUAAGAUAAAAGCAUACGUUUUGGAAGUUAUGGUUUUAAUAUUCUUAAAGUCUUAAGAUAAAGUAUUUUCCCUUACAAAAAGCUUUUUAAGGCAUUUUCCCUAAAGCUAUAAGAUAAAGUGCUUUUCCUUACAACUUAAUAGUAAAAAUUUUCAAAAUAAUUUCUCAAAAAAGGGUAAUAGAAAACUUUUAGAAAACUAAGUGUGAAGGCUCACAUUUUAUUCAGAUUAUGCUUUACAGAAAGAUAAUAGUUACAGAUUUUAGCUUUUAGAUUUCAGAUUUAAGAGUGAGUCCUUUCCAUUUUUAGACCGUAUGAUUUAAAGAGAGAGUACAGGUACAACCUUUAGAAAUAAAUAUUAUGACUCACUAGAUUUAUAAAGUAUGAUUUGCUUCUCAUUAUUUUAGAUUUAAGAUAUUCUAGCUUGUGUAAGUCAUUUUAAUUUAGCAUGCAUUAUUUUUAUUAUGAUGAUGAGAUAAUAUUUUACUUAUGCAUUUCACCCCCAUAUACUCAGUACAUCCUCAAAUUACUGAUCCAUAUAUACGCCUAUAUGCUAUAUUGUCUUAUAAUGUAGGUAUAAGUUUUAGUACGCACAUUCAAAUUCAAAUAGUUGCAGAUUCCAGCCAGCAAAAUGAUUAGUCCUUCUGCUUCGGGGACUUUAGUUAGAUUUAUUUAUGUUCUUUACUUUAUUACUUAUAUGUAUUGAUUAGUGGUAGUUGGGAUCGCAUCCUAGCUAUCCAUAUUCAGUAUAGUAGAUGCUUUACAGAUGUCAGUCAGAUUCAGUUAUGUAUAUUUCAGUUUCGUCCCUCAAUUUUAUCAGAAUGUAAAUUUGUAUCGGUAUUGUAUCAUUAUGUAUUCCAUUAUUAUUAUGUUUCCACACAGUCAACU